This 583-nucleotide unclassified non-coding RNA is filed under the name Homo sapiens (human). Its description in RNAcentral is "negative elongation factor complex member E (multiple genes)". Lineage: Eukaryota; Metazoa; Chordata; Mammalia; Primates; Hominidae. The record is from RNAcentral.
AUCGUUGUGAGCCCGCUAUCAGCGGCCAGCGCGGGCGCGGCCGGAGACCGUGGGGCCCCCGGUUGCCGCCCCCUCGGGAGCCACCAUGUUGGUGAUACCCCCCGGACUGAGCGAGGAAGAGGAGGCUCUGCAGAAGAAAUUCAACAAGCUCAAGAAAAAGGUGAGGGACUGUGUGUGGACAUGGCCUAACCUUUCACAGACUCUGCACUCUGAGAAGAUAUGGGAAAAAGGCAUUGCUGGCUCUGAAGAAGCAAAGUAGCAGCAGCACAACCAGCCAAGGUGGUGUCAAACGCUCACUAUCAGAGCAGCCUGUCAUGGACACAGCCACAGCAACAGAGCAGGCAAAGCAGCUGGUGAAGUCAGGAGCCAUCAGUGCCAUCAAGGCUGAGACCAAGAACUCAGGCUUCAAGCGUUCUCGAACCCUUGAGGGGAAGUUAAAGGACCCCGAGAAGGGACCAGUCCCCACUUUCCAGCCGUUCCAGAGGAGCAUAUCUGCUGAUGAUGACCUGCAAGAGUCAUCCAGACGUCCCCAGAGGAAAUCUCUGUAUGAGAGCUUUGACUGGGGCUAUGAAGAACGCAGUGG